AGUGAACGCUGGCGGUAGGCCUAACACAUGCAAGUCGAACGGCAGCACAGGGGAGCUUGCUCCCUGGGUGGCGAGUGGCGGACGGGUGAGGAAUACAUCGGAAUCUACUCUGUCGUGGGGGAUAACGUAGGGAAACUUACGCUAAUACCGCAUACGACCUACGGGUGAAAGUGGGGGACCGCAAGGCCUCACGCGAUUGAAUGAGCCGAUGUCGGAUUAGCUAGUUGGCGGGGUAAAGGCCCACCAAGGCGACGAUCCGUAGCUGGUCUGAGAGGAUGUUCAGCAACACGGGAACUGGGGCACGGUACAGACUCCUGCGGGAGGCAGCAGUGGGGAAUAUUGGGCAAUGGGCGCAAGCCUGAUCCAGCCAUACCGCGUGGGUGAAGAAGGCCUUCGGGUUGUAAAGCCCUUUUGUUGGGAAAGAAAUCCUGUUGGUUAAUACCCGGCAGGGAUGACGGUACCCAAAGAAUAAGCACCGGCUAACUUCGUGCCAGCAGCCGCCGUAA
RNAcentral lists this ribosomal RNA (506 nucleotides) under uncultured bacterium. RNAcentral's name for it is "partial 16S ribosomal RNA". It matches the Rfam family "Bacterial small subunit ribosomal RNA", at positions 29 to 523 of the family's 1533-position model. The record is from RNAcentral.